RNAcentral lists this long non-coding RNA (203 nucleotides) under Amazona collaria (yellow-billed parrot). RNAcentral describes it as "lncRNA (ENSACOG00000006078.1)". Lineage: Eukaryota; Metazoa; Chordata; Aves; Psittaciformes; Psittacidae. The record is from RNAcentral.
ACACAAUGGAGUGCUUUCAUACUUGCAUCUCAUUGUAGGAAUAUGAAACAACUCACCAAACUUAAAAGUGAUGAAGAAUACCAGGAAUGUUAUUCAUUAGUCCCGUGUCUGAAGAACACAGAUGAACUCAGUUUGCCAGAACUUAUGUAGAAGGGAUUCCAUCCAUGUAAGUUUUUACUUAACAAAUGAAGACUGGUCCUAGC